Molecule: small RNA, 86 nt
Filed under: Dichelobacter nodosus
Lineage: Bacteria; Pseudomonadati; Pseudomonadota; Gammaproteobacteria; Cardiobacteriales; Cardiobacteriaceae
Also listed under: 1 other name
Description: t44 RNA
Rfam family: t44 RNA
About the family: This family consists of a number of bacterial RNA genes of between 135 and 170 bases in length. The t44 gene is found between the map and rpsB genes in all species in the full alignment apart from Shigella flexneri. The function of this RNA is unknown.
Source: RNAcentral
GCCGUAAGGCAAUUAAAACACACAAAUACCAAAACAUCGCUUCGGGUGCGCUGCGGCGUUGAAGCAUGGGUAUUUGGAGGAACAAC